CCUACGGGUGGCAGCAGUGAGGAAUAUUGGUCAAUGGGCGCGAGCCUGAACCAGUCAAGUCGCGUGAGGGAUGACGGUCCUACGGAUUGUAAACCUCUUUUGCCGGGGAGCAAGCGUGCGUUCGUGAACGCGCGUCGAGAGUACCCGGAGAAAAAGCAUCGGCUAACUCCGUGCCAGCAGCCGCGGUAAUACGGAGGAUGCGAGCGUUAUCCGGAUUUAUUGGGUGUAAAGGGAGCGUAGGUGGAUUGUUAAGUCAGUUGGGAAAGUGUGCGGCUCAACCGUAAGAUUGCAGUUGAGACUGGCAGUCUUGAGUACAGUAGAGGUGGGCGGAAUUCGUGGUGUAGCGGUGAAAUGCGUAGAUAUCACGAAGAACACCGAUUGCGAAGGCAGCUCACUGGACUGCAACUGACACUGAGGCUCGAAAGUGUGGGUAUCAAACAGGAUUAGAUACCCUAGUAGUC
RNAcentral lists this ribosomal RNA (461 nucleotides) under uncultured bacterium. RNAcentral's name for it is "partial 16S ribosomal RNA". It matches the Rfam family "Bacterial small subunit ribosomal RNA", at positions 338 to 795 of the family's 1533-position model. The record is from RNAcentral.